CGGCUUUAUUUAUGGUUUUUAGUCGCCGCGAGAAAGAGAGAGGGGAGGGGACAGAGAGAGCAGAGCUCGCUCCUCCACAUAAAAUAAAAUCGUAUAUAAAAGGAGACCCCAACGGCGGACCGACCAGGCAGAGCGCGGCGAAUAAAACGGGACGGGAGUAUUGAAAGCUUUCCGCUCUCCGCCGCCGCCGCCUUCCUCCUCCUGCUGCUCCACGACGGCGCCGGAUCCCAAAGGAGGCUGGUUCGCUCUGCGCCUCCGCGGUGGAGGGAGGGCCCGCCCAGCGUCCUGGAGCAACCACGCUCGUUCCGCCUUAGAUGCCACUGGUGGGGAAGACUAAGGCCGUCGGUGCAGGGGUACGGCUGGUAGUGCGUGAUGCAGAACCUGGGGAAGGACCUCUGGCCGAGGGAAGGGUUGGAGGUCUUCGAACAAGGGUUCGGCGGAGGUCGCCGCGGCGAUGGGGGACUCUUCAGGAGGCUCUUCGGGUAUGGACACGGCCACCGAGGACGGUCCUGGUGGUGGAACGGUCGCGAGAUGAGGUGCGGGCUCUCGUGUGGCGACGGUCUGAGCGGCAGUAGCAAGGGACCUUGGACCAGCGGCAUAGAGUAGUUGGUAUUUGCAGCACCUGGACCGGACUAGUUCUGUAGAAGGGUCCCACUACAGCCUUCACUCCCAUCGGACGGCUUCAAAGGGCUCCCCGAUGGACGAAACGGCUUUUCCAGACUUCGGAAAGUUCACGUCCUCAGACUCAAAUCCAAGUGUGUUCUCUCACUACCACACCAAUUGUUACCACACCUCCUCUGGAACCUACUCGUCUUACUUCCCCACGUCUUUCCGUUCCACUGGGAAAAACCGGUUCUACUCGUCCUAGUCGGGCUCAAGCUCAAAGUCGUACUUUCAGGUCUACACAACUACUCUGGACAGUUACAACCUUCCGAACAGUUACAACGUUCCGAACAGUUGUUACCUUACGGUUCUUUACCGCUUUUACUACGGAAGAACCUUGGAGUCCUAAGUGUCUCACACUGAUCAUUGAGGCUCCGACUCCUACGACCACCCGUCCCCACCACCUUCGGGUCAAGAGGAAUACCCUGCAGACGACCGUGUGGACCACGUCUUAAAAUACUGCGUAAGCUUCUUUAUAGUUCGCUACCACGUUGAGCUAGAAGAGCUACACAACUACUACUCAUGGCACUUUACUCCAAUUCGUACAACUGUCUUUAACUCCCAUCCUUUGUUCGACUCCUCCAUCGACUCUGGACCGUUUUCCUUACCUUUUUCGACUCAGUAGUGGAUAGCGACUAGCGGAACAGUGAAGGUAGAGGUUGACAUCGACUCUUGCUACUACUAUGUUCACGCCUAGGACCUCGGCUCAACACGGUUGUUUAUUGACAAAGUGUUGACCAUCGGCGACGAUAACGGUCCCCUUAACGAGCACAUCUUCAACUUAGUCUCUACCUUUCACAUUAAAGUCGUUUCUUGAAACUCUAGCGUUCCGAUAGUCUAUCCCAGGUCAUGAUACUUCGUCGUUUGUCCCUCUACAGAGUUUCUUUGGUUCUUCGAUAGCUCUACAGGUCCGUUGUCGCCUUGUUCGCAUUCUACUCCGUCUUCACCAAGACCCCAAGUCAACCGUAUCGUCAAUGGGAACCGUGUCGUCGGUAACGGACCAGGAUGUACGGGCGUUCGGUCAGGGUCCGUCCCCUGAGCUUAUCGUGGUUGUGGUUGUCGCUAAUCUCGAUCGACUUCUACGUAGAAGAGGUACGUCUCCAGGAUUGCUUUCGAGAUUGAUAUGAAGGAUCUCUCUUUUCUUCGAACAUAUUCAAAAGAGAAAACCACUAGCCGACACUAGUGAUGUUAGGAGUAAACGGCGAAGGAGACAUUUUUUUUUACACCUUACCCGGUAGAGGCAGGUCCUAACCGAGCCGAGGGGGAAUGGCAUUCAGGGAGCAACGUAUCAACCAACUCGUUUUAUUAUGCUCCUUACACCUAUACUCAUCAUUAGCAGGUACCACUUGAGUUUACCUCAACUAAAACUGUCAACGUCAAAACUAGACCCAGAACAAAUGAGCUCGUUCUAAAGUAACGGCACUUCAAAGACAUCCAAACUAAUAUACGGACAAUAAAAUGCAAAGACACAAAGAGUCAACGAACCUCGAAGGUAAAACAACCACCGUGAUGGCGAGAAUGUCGAGAGAGAAGAAAAAAUACCCAUCAGACCGGUCGUUUCUCUCUCUCCUCUCCCGCUAAGGUCGGAAUGACACGGGAAAUGGAUCGGUUACCAUGAGGUGGGCUUUCUGCAACAAAAGAUGAGGAAGCCGAGAAAUAAGUUGGUUGGAGAAAUUUGAGUCGUCGGCUGUAUCGAACGGG
This 2364-nucleotide ribosomal RNA is filed under the name Triticum aestivum (bread wheat). RNAcentral's name for it is "partial small subunit ribosomal RNA". The record is from RNAcentral. Lineage: Eukaryota; Viridiplantae; Streptophyta; Magnoliopsida; Poales; Poaceae.